This 137-nucleotide transfer RNA is filed under the name Candidatus Bathyarchaeota archaeon. Its description in RNAcentral is "tRNA-OTHER". Lineage: Archaea; Thermoproteati; Candidatus Bathyarchaeota. The record is from RNAcentral.
GCGGCCGUCGUCCAGCCUGGACUAGGACGUAGAUCAACACCUAAAAGGUGUUGACCGCAAGCCCUCCAAGCCUGAGCUUGUUAAAACGGGUUGCCGCACAACAGGAUACCCGGGUUCAAAUCCCGGCGGCCGCACCA